UAUAUAUUGAUUGAGAUUUGACUUGAGAUGUAAAAAUCAGUUUGGAUAAACACAACUAAACACACAGUUGUCGUUUCCUUUAUAAAUAAUACCCGACGUACACGACGAAUCUGUAACAGAAGCCUUUUUUUUUAAAAAGAUUCUUUCCAUAGAAAAAAAAAUUAUCAGACAGAGAGAUAUGAGUUUUGUAGAUCGUCUUGUUGUGUGUCUCUUAUUGACGCUUACAAUUACUACAUCUUUAGCCCGUCACUCUGUCUCCGUUUCAGGGUUUGAGAACACUGGAUUCCAAAGAAGGCCGUUGACGGUGAACGUUGAGGAUUACGGUGACCCUUCUGCGAAUCCUAAACACAAUCCCGGUGUUCCUCCGGCUAAUACCGGCCAACGUGUUGCUGGUAGAGGCUGACCUUUUCUUAUCUCAAGAACAGAACUCGUCUUGUCUUCUUUGCAUCUUCAGAUUGUCUCUGAUAUGAAAUUCUUAGUUUCUGUAACCUUAGUUUCUAUCAUUCUCUAAUCGUAUAUUUCGUAUAAACAUUUCUAUCGUCUUUUACAGACCAUUUCUUCAUUUUCAUUUUCUUGAAAAUGGCUAUGACUAAUGCCUUAUGAUUGAUCCAAAGAAGUAAUAAACUCUUAGUUAACCAA
This is a non-coding RNA of Camelina sativa (false flax), 639 nucleotides long. NCBI's taxonomy places the organism in Eukaryota, Viridiplantae, Streptophyta, Magnoliopsida, Brassicales, Brassicaceae. The record is from RefSeq and is a predicted model, not a curated record.